GUGACAUUAAAACACAAAACAUGGUCACAGCCCCUUUGGGAACACAGACUAAAAACAGCGCAGAGCUAAAGACCGCUGUGGAGCAAACAGGACAUCAGAGCACAGCAGCCCUGAAGGAUCCUUCCUCCAUGAUCCUGCAGACUUUCCUCUGACCCUCUGGGUCUGUGUCCACCCAGCUGAGCUUAUAAAACCCUGAACAAAGAAAAAAAGAGCCAUGAACCAAAAUGCAGGAAGUACAGAAUUAACAUUGAACCCAGACCAUGAAUACGCCGUCAUAGACAGAACUGGCAUCACCAAGGGAGACCCGGCAGAGCAGGCCUCUGUGGAGCCUGGUGCUGAUGUCACCUACAGCUCCAUUCUCCUGCCAGAUCCACAGCAGGUGUCCUCUAGAUGUUCUUCACACCGUGCUGCUGUAACCCCAGCCAGUGAUGUGGUCUACAGCCCAGUCACCCAGCAGCACAGAGAGUAGGGGGCAGCAACACAGAGAGGCUCCUCUACAUGUGGGGAGCUGCUGCUCUGGAUGAGGGCUGUGAGGGAGACACAGAUACUGCAGUGAUCAUCACCAGACAGGAGCAUCUUACAGUGAUGUGAGCUGUAUUUAAAUAGCAUGCAGCUCUCUCACAUUAUAGUAUGAUCAAUGUGCUGUUUACCUCACUUGUACAUUGCUUUGGACAUGAUGGAAUAAAUGUAAAUGUAAGAUAUUAUCUUUGAGAUCUGUGAAUUGUCACUUUUCAUUCAUUUAAAUGGAAUAAAUAUCAUUAGCUAUCCUGUAUGUUUAGUAUAAAAUAAAAUGUUUGCUAUUUCAAUAUGCAUCAUUUUCAGGGUA
Molecule: long non-coding RNA, 826 nt
Organism: Brienomyrus brachyistius
Lineage: Eukaryota; Metazoa; Chordata; Actinopteri; Osteoglossiformes; Mormyridae
Exons: 6
Source: RefSeq, a predicted model, not a curated record